Molecule: transfer RNA, 77 nt
Filed under: Alphaproteobacteria bacterium MarineAlpha3_Bin6
Lineage: Bacteria; Pseudomonadati; Pseudomonadota; Alphaproteobacteria
Also listed under: 1 other name
Description: tRNA-Arg
Rfam family: tRNA
About the family: Transfer RNA (tRNA) molecules are approximately 80 nucleotides in length. Their secondary structure includes four short double-helical elements and three loops (D, anti-codon, and T loops). Further hydrogen bonds mediate the characteristic L-shaped molecular structure. tRNAs have two regions of fundamental functional importance: the anti-codon, which is responsible for specific mRNA codon recognition, and the 3' end, to which the tRNAs corresponding amino acid is attached (by aminoacyl-tRNA synthetases). tRNAs cope with the degeneracy of the genetic code in two manners: having more than one tRNA (with a specific anti-codon) for a particular amino acid; and 'wobble' base-pairing, i.e. permitting non-standard base-pairing at the 3rd anti-codon position.
Source: RNAcentral
GGUCCCGUAGCUCAGUCGGAUAGAGCGCCAGAUUCCUAAUCUGGAGGCCAUAGGUUCGAAUCCUAUCGGGAUCACCA